Molecule: ribosomal RNA, 1610 nt
Filed under: Morganella morganii
Lineage: Bacteria; Pseudomonadati; Pseudomonadota; Gammaproteobacteria; Enterobacterales; Morganellaceae
Description: bacterial LSU rRNA
Rfam family: Bacterial large subunit ribosomal RNA
Source: RNAcentral
GCCGGAAGACCAAGGGUUCCUGUCCAACGUUAAUCGGGGCAGGGUGAGUCGACCCCUAAGGCGAGGCUGAAAAGCGUAGUCGAUGGGCAACGGGUUAAUAUUCCCGUACUGGUGGUAACUGCGAAGGGGGGACGGAGAAAGCUAAAUCAUCCGGGCGACGGUUGUCCGGUUUAAGCGUGCAGGUGGACUGACCAGGCAAAUCCGGUCGGUUGUUAACACUGAGGCGUGACGACGAGCCACUACGGUGGUGAAGUGAUUGAUGCUCUGCUUCCGGGAAAAGCCUCUAAGCUCCAGGUUAUCAUUAAUCGUACCCCAAACCGACACAGGUGGUCAGGUAGAGAAUACUCAGGCGCUUGAGAGAACUCGGGUGAAGGAACUAGGCAAAAUGGUGCCGUAACUUCGGGAGAAGGCACGCUGGCACUAGGUGAAGUCCCUCGCGGACGGAGCUGAAGCCAGCCGCAGAUACCAGCUGGCUGCAACUGUUUAUUAAAAACACAGCACUGUGCAAACACGAAAGUGGACGUAUACGGUGUGACGCCUGCCCGGUGCCGGAAGGUUAAUUGAUGAGGUUAGCGCAAGCGAAGCUUCUGAUCGAAGCCCCGGUAAACGGCGGCCGUAACUAUAACGGUCCUAAGGUAGCGAAAUUCCUUGUCGGGUAAGUUCCGACCUGCACGAAUGGCGUAAUGAUGGCCAGGCUGUCUCCACCCGAGACUCAGUGAAAUUGAACUCGCUGUGAAGAUGCAGUGUACCCGCGGCAAGACGGAAAGACCCCGUGAACCUUUACUAUAGCUUGACACUGAACAUUGAGCCUUGAUGUGUAGGAUAGGUGGGAGGCAACGAAGUGUGGACGCCAGUCUGCACGGAGCCAUCCUUGAAAUACCACCCUUUAACGUUUGAUGUUCUAACCCAGACCCGUAAUCCGGGUCGGGGACCGUGUCUGGUGGGUAGUUUGACUGGGGCGGUCUCCUCCCAAAGAGUAACGGAGGAGCACGAAGGUUGGCUAAGCAUGGUCGGACAUCAUGCGGUUAGUGCAAAGGCAUAAGCCAGCUUGACUGCGAGAGUGACGGCUCGAGCAGGUACGAAAGUAGGUCUUAGUGAUCCGGUGGUUCUGAAUGGAAGGGCCAUCGCUCAACGGAUAAAAGGUACUCCGGGGAUAACAGGCUGAUACCGCCCAAGAGUUCAUAUCGACGGCGGUGUUUGGCACCUCGAUGUCGGCUCAUCACAUCCUGGGGCUGAAGUAGGUCCCAAGGGUAUGGCUGUUCGCCAUUUAAAGUGGUACGCGAGCUGGGUUUAGAACGUCGUGAGACAGUUCGGUCCCUAUCUGCCGUGGGCGCUGGAAGAUUGAGAGGGGUUGCUCCUAGUACGAGAGGACCGGAGUGAACGCACCACUGGUGUACGGGUUGUGAUGCCAAUUGCAUUGCCCGGUAGCUAAGUGCGGAAGAGAUAACCGCUGAAAGCAUCUAAGCGGGAAACUUGCCUCGAGAUGAGUCUUCCCUGACCCUUUAAGGGUCCUGAAGGAACGUUUGAGACUAAGACGUUGAUAGGCUGGGUGUGUAAGUGCAGCGAUGUAUUGAGCUAACCAGUACUAAUGAACCGAGAGGCUUAACCUG